UACUUAGGGUCCGAGCGUUAUCCGGUAUUAUUGGGCGUAAAGAGUGCGUAGGCGGUUUGGUAAGUCACUGGUUAAAGCUCCGGGCCUAACCAGGAAAUCGCCCGUGUGACUAUCAGACUAGUCGGUAGCAGGGGCAAGCGGAAUUGUCGGUGUAGGAGUGAAAUCCGUUGAGAUCGACAAGAACACCAAUGGCGAAGGCAGCUUGCUAGGCUAUUUGAGACGCUGAGGCACGAAAGCGUGGGGAGCGAACGGG
Molecule: ribosomal RNA, 253 nt
Filed under: uncultured bacterium
Lineage: Bacteria
Description: partial 16S ribosomal RNA
Rfam family: Bacterial small subunit ribosomal RNA
Source: RNAcentral